GACCAGCAAAAAAAAACCCCAUGGACCCCAUCCUUCGUUGCCCCCUCCCAUCGAUCCCAUCGACCCCCGACGCCGCCGUCCGAGGGGGACACGACGCCACCGCCGCCGUCCGAGGGGGACACGACGCCGCCGCCGCCUCUGCAAGGCAGGGCGGUUUGAAUCCCGCCGCCGCCGAACUCCGGAUCUCCUCGAUCUCCUCGAUCUCAAGCGCCGGCAGCAUCACCUGGAUCUCCUCGAGCCAGGGCCCUCCGCGCGCCAGCACCUUCCCCAUCGCGCGCGAUCUGUCCGCUCCGACACACGGUGAGCGCGCUACCGCCGCCUUGUCACCGACGUCCUGAUCCAUCAGCGGCAAUGGCGGCUCCUUCUGGCGGAUCAAGGCGCGGAGACCCGUGGGAUCCCCUCCUUCGGCAGGACCUCCUCAUCUGAUUGCAUUCUUGCACGGAUAGAGAGUGGAACACCACCUUCAGUUUCUCAUCUGAUCCCACUUGUGGACUCCAUGAAUGAAGCCUGAUGUGUAUCCAACGGCAUGGGAGAUUAAAGAUUUGCAUGAGACUGACGAUUGUGAUUUUGGCCCUGUACUGAAUAAUUUUGGGAGCGACUGGAUGAUGAUUAUUACAAGCCAGGAGGACUGCAUGUGAUGAGUUAAGGCACAAGAACUACGACCAUUUUAGCUCCAGCAGUAAGUACACAACUAAUCAACAAUGCAUUUUCACGACCCAGACUUCUGCAUUCUGGUUGACAGGCUCGCUGGCACAAUCACAUAAUCUCAUGCAUUCAAAUUGCUAGCUACACGAAGUACGCCCAGAUCUACGAGUAGGAAUCCAAGAAUAGGAAGAACCAUACCAACAACAUACAUACAUAUUACAGUUCUGCAUUUUAAAUUUGAAGACCAAGGCAAAGCCCGAUCGAUGUAAUUGGAGGCAUUGCAGUCCAAUUGUUCGAUUGUAACCAGACGUGUGACUGAAUACUGCUUCGAACAUGUGAUUCUGCAAAGUUGAGGAAGUUGAGGAAGUAUGGACUCGGAUCCUUUAAGGGUUUGUUUCCAUACUGUGGGACAGCAGGAUCUGAGUCCCACUAUGAGGGAUCAACCUUCAGAGAUCAGCUACAGGCGUCAUACUGCCCCCACAAGAAACAAGAACUUUCUAACCAAGGGCAUACCUACAAGACAGCAGGAAGUCCUAAGGCACGCAUCACACAUUCACAAAAGCAACCUACUCGGGUCCUCCCUGUGCACAUCUGGUGGUGGCUCCUCCUUCUACUUCUUCAUGUGCAGAUCUAUUGGUGGCUCCUCCUCCCCUCCAUAGAUCUUUAUAUUUUGCCAUUGCUAAAGAUUGUGAUGAUAAGGUUCACAGGAGAUGCAGGUACGUCUUCUGUCCAAAAAGGAUAAAUUGGUGUCCGAUUUGACCACAAGCAUAUGAUCUUUGCUCCACAAGGUUGUACUUUGACAAGGCAUGAUGCUCUUUUUUGUGUAAGUUGACGAACUCUGGUGAAUGAAUUGCAUUUUGUUUCCUUUAAUCAUGACAGUGUACACGAGUAUUUGGCUAAUUAUUAUUGCUUAAUUUAUGUUUCCAUCAAAACAGCGAAUUUGCAUACGUCUAAUUGAUAUUUGAACUGAUGGUAUAAAGUAGUUUUGAUCUCAAAAUAUUGAGAAGACAUGGAUUCAACUAGGGAGGAGUAGAGGAAGACCAUGCAAAUGAGGGAUAUGUAAGAUAUGUGUCCUAGCACCUUUCAUAAGGAGUUUUUUUUAAGGAGAUGUUCAUAAUAAACCAAUUCUGAAAGUGACUUUUCUAGCAAGCAUCUAGCAAGGGUGACAUGGCAUGUAUCAUCACAAAUAUACAAUGACAAGUGAUGUGUAUUUGUUCUUCCAUUGUUACUUUGGGUUUAUUUUAACAUAUCUCCAUAGUGAUUUGCUACAAUUAAUUAUUUUUGUUGUUUGUUUUUUGUGAAAGUUUUGGCAGGCUGUGAGCUGGAUGUGCUAUUAGUCAUGGUGCCGAGCUUGGAUUGAGGAGACGGAUAGAAGAAGGUCAAUGCGCUUGAGGAGGCGGCAGUAGCACACCUGUGGUCCAAAUCUAGGUGAAUUAUUGUGGCUGAUCUAGAGGCCUGUCUAGAGAACGGCAGGGCCACAACGUUCGUGCAGCGGUGGCUGUACACACCAUCCGGAGGCGAGCAACGGCUGCGCUGGCAACCGCUUGGAAGGGAAGCGAAGGUCAUGGAGGAGGAGGCUAUGCAUGGCCGAGGAGCAGGUCGUGCGCUGCCGCAGGGACGGGAGAGCCGGCGCCGGCUCCAAGUACGCCAUCAUCCAAGUUGCACUUGGGCUUCCCUCCAGCAGGUCCACACCGUAUCUUAGGUCAUGAUCGGGCUGACAGCGGUUUGUCCACUACACUCGACCAUGUGCUCAGCUGACCUGGAUGCCCAUAUUUUCCUAGACACCAUGGCACGAGUACCAACCUCACAGGCUGAACUGAUGGAUGUUGGUAUUUUGAUCUUGCUAUGUCAAAUAGUAUGAUGUAAUCUAUGGAGCUGAAGCUAUAGCUAGAUCUUGAUCUUACUGUCAUAUCCGUGUCAAGCACAAGCCGGCGCCUCUAUUUCCGGAUUGACAGCACACGAUGAGAAGAAUACAUGGUUUACCUCAGAGCUGGGGACUACAGAGGAUAGCGUCUUUGUGAAUUCAGAUAAGAAUAAUAUUGUAAGAGGGCAAGGUAUCAUGUAUACAAUCAAGCAUUGCAAAGGACUAGCUACUGCCUUGUUUAUUUUUUUAUGAUUGCCCAAAAUUUUCUUACUAGAAUUUUGAGAAGUUUGGCCAUCAGUUCUACUGCUUGGUCAUUUUAUAUAUCAUGUUGUAGUCUUUCUUUUAAUACAAGGUAAUAUUAAUACCAUCCAUGUACUUUUGUGUUUGCUGUCCAGUACAUGGUGACUAAUUUUCAUAUACAUUUUGUUUCAUAUUAUCCAUGAAUAUGUUUUUUGUGCUAAAACAAAAAUAUGGGGGACUGGUCAGCAUGCUAGGUCAGAGCAAAGCAAAAACCCGUAUAAAUGAGUCCCAAGGAGCAAAGAUCAUUAUGUAGAAUAGAAUAUUUUUGCUCCAUGAAACCUUCUGGGCUCCAUAAAUUGUGUUUUUGUGCUCAUGCUUGUGCACAUUCUAUAAUUUUGAUUCGUUGUUCAGGCAUUUGGAGUUCACAGUUAUCUAAGUUUCUCUUAUGUGUGUUUUCGAAGAAUUUGAUACUUUAGAGUCUUUCUAUUAUAUUAUCUUUGAAUCUACUUAGAAUAGAUUAGUAGUAUGAUAUAGUGAAGUAAUCUAAUUCAAUUUCCUUUUUCAUUGCAUCCACUGAAUUUCAAUUGGGUCAAAAUAAAAAAGUCGAAGACAAUUUUUUUCAGCCAUAAGUAGAACACCAGAGCUAAUUGAUACACCAUUUUGAAAAUUGAUACACUGUUGCAGGGAGAGCACCGCACGCAACAGUGGUCAAGGGCUUAGUGUCUGUUGACCUCGUCCGUGGCCGCUGUUGGUCGGUGAAGGAGGCAUGCAUGAGGUGGUGCAAGGGCAUGCUGGUGACGGAGUCGCGCAUCAUGAGGCCGGGUGAGUAACGCUCGGGAACUGCCGGGCGCUCAGACUGACGCGGGAUGGGGUUGGCGCGGUGACUCAAGGAGGAGGAUGUAGUUAUGGGGGAGGGAGUGACGACGGAGGGGCUUCGAUGGCCCGACGAGACCCUACAUCAUAAUCAAGGAGGACCCUACAUCUAAAGGAAACAGAGCAGUCUAUAUCAUUAGUCUAUUACUGGAUUUCUAGAAGGAAAAAGGGAUAAAUGGUUGUUUCUGCUACUCUACAUUUGCUUUAAAAUUGGUGUACAUAUAUCAAGAAGAACUUGGUUGCAAAAGUGAUCAAACAUAAGAGAAAACACAAACACAUUGGUUUUGUAAUUAAAUGCCUAAGAUCUUAUAAUUUUGAAUUAAAUUGUUUGAUUAUACAA
Molecule: long non-coding RNA, 3962 nt
Organism: Triticum aestivum (bread wheat)
Lineage: Eukaryota; Viridiplantae; Streptophyta; Magnoliopsida; Poales; Poaceae
Exons: 11
Source: RefSeq, a predicted model, not a curated record